CCUGGCUCUGUGAGAUUAGCAUCUAACAUUAGCUACUCUGCUGUGCUGUAAAGUAAUGUCGGCUAUGUGAGAGAAGCUUCUAGCAACAUUGUUGUGGA
Molecule: long non-coding RNA, 98 nt
Organism: Etheostoma cragini (Arkansas darter)
Lineage: Eukaryota; Metazoa; Chordata; Actinopteri; Perciformes; Percidae
Exons: 3
Source: RefSeq, a predicted model, not a curated record